GCAGCAGUAGGGAAUCUCCCACAAUGGGCGAAAGCCUGAUGGAGCAACGCCGCGUGGGUGGAGAAGGUCUUCGGAUCGUAAAACCCUGUUGUUAGAGAAGAAAGUGCGUGAGAGUAACUAUUCACGUUUCGACGGUAUCUAACCAGGAAGCCACGGCUAACUACGUGCCAGCAGCCGCGGUAAUACGUAGGUGGCAAGCGUUAUCCGGAUUUAUUGGGCGUAAAGGGAACGCAGGCGGUCUUUUAAGUCUGAUGUGAAAGCCUUCGGCUUAACCGGAGUAGUGCAUUGGAAACUGGGAGACUUGAGUGCAGAAGAGGAGAGUGGAACUCCAUGUGUAGCGGUGAAAUGCGUAGAUAUAUGGAAGAACACCAGUGGCGAAAGCGGCUCUCUGGUCUGUAACUGACGCUGAGGUUCGAAAGCGUGGGUAGCAAACAGGAUUAGAUACCCUGGUAGUCCACGCCGUAAACGAU
RNAcentral lists this ribosomal RNA (470 nucleotides) under uncultured bacterium. Its description in RNAcentral is "bacterial SSU rRNA". It matches the Rfam family "Bacterial small subunit ribosomal RNA", at positions 348 to 810 of the family's 1533-position model. The record is from RNAcentral.